AGUUUGGUAAAGGUUGCUCUUACAACAUCUGUCACAGCUUUGGAAAGGAAGGCAAGAGGACAGACUAUACACCUUUCAGUUGCCUGAAGAUUAUUCUAUCCAAUCCACCAAGCCAAGGGGAUUAUCAUGGGUGCCCAUUCCGUCACAGUGAUCCAGAGCUGCUGAAGCAAAAGUUGCAGUCAUACAAGAUCUCUCCUGGAGGGAUAAGCCAGAUUUUGGAUUUAGUAAAGGGGACACAUUACCAGGUAGCCUGUCAAAAAUACUUUGAGAUGAUACACAAUGUGGAUGAUUGUGGCUUUUCUUUGAAUCAUCCUAAUCAGUUCUUUUGUGAGAGCCAAAGUAUUCUAAAUGGUGGUAAAGACAUAAAGAAGGAACCUAUCCAACCAGAAACUCCUCAACCCAAACCAAGUGUCCAGAAAACCAAGGAUGCAUCAUCUGCUCUGGCCUCUUUAAAUUCCUCUCUGGAAAUGGAUAUGGAAGGACUAGAAGAUUACUUUAGUGAAGAUUCUUAGGCAGUUUUCUAACCCAUUUUCCUCAAUAGCCUGUUUCCUGUUUUUAAGAUUUUGCCUUUGUUGUUGAAAAAGGGUUUCACUCUGUCACCAAGGCUUAGUGCAGUGACACAAUUACAGCUGAUUGCAGCCUUGACCUUCCCAGCUCAGGUGAUCCUGCUACCUCAGCCUCCCAAGUAGUUGGGACCACAGGUGUGUACCCCAUAUCCAACUAAUUUUUUUCAAUUUUUUUUUGUAGAGGUGAGGGUCUCCCUAUGUUGCCCAGGCAGAUCUCAGACUCCUGGACUCAAGCGAUCCUCACACCUCAGCCUCCCAGAGUGCUGGGAUUACAGUUGUGAGCCACUGUGCCUGGUCUUUCUUUUUUUAACCUUUUUGUUUAACUUCUCUCUUCAUUGCAUCCCAAUCCAUCUACAGGCAUGCACACUUAUUAGGAAAGCAGGUUUGAGGUAACAACAGAGACUUUCACUAUAUUUUACUUUGACAGAAGGAAAGAGGAAGAGUUUCUAUUAAAAUCUGUCAUUUGAGUGAUGUCAUUUAAGUCCUAUUUUAGGAGAUAAAAACAGCUUUGGGGACUGGUUAAAGUCCCCCAGAAACUACAAUAAAGAAUAACUUUUGUUUUAACUCUUAAUCACUUUGUAAUUUUGACUCAAUCCUUUUCUGGACCAUUUUUGUUAAUAAAUGUCAAAGUGUACAUGACAGUGUCUGCGUAUAAUUGGGAGAGUCUUAUGUCAUAACAGAUUGGACAUUACUUCAGUUUUAAAGUGGUAGUUUGAAGUAUCCAACACAUUGCUGAUCACUAAUGAAUAUUUUAAACUUUUCUUUACCUUUUUUUAAGAGUUGACCUAUUUGUGGUUAUUCUACAUCAGGCACCAGACUCUCCUGAGUGAACUGUGACUUGGGAAUUAAAAUAAAGUAUAGCCAGUUAUAUUUAUUAAGGAAUAAUAGGGAUAUUUUAUUAUGUAAAAU
RNAcentral lists this long non-coding RNA (1475 nucleotides) under Homo sapiens (human). RNAcentral's name for it is "HSALNT0312909". The record is from RNAcentral. Lineage: Eukaryota; Metazoa; Chordata; Mammalia; Primates; Hominidae.